This 171-nucleotide small RNA is filed under the name Calidris pygmaea (Spoon-billed sandpiper). RNAcentral's name for it is "TUC338 (ENSCPGG00000008330.1)". Lineage: Eukaryota; Metazoa; Chordata; Aves; Charadriiformes; Scolopacidae. The record is from RNAcentral.
GAGACAGCCCUGGAGGCUGAAGUCAUUUAUUUACUCCCAGAACAAGCACAAACUACACAAGCACCUGCCCCAGGAGCCCAGAUAAAAGACCCUUGGACCUGACCUGGAGAGACAACUCGCAGGGGUGACCCAGCGAACCCAGCCUCGUUUCCCAUUCCACCCGUAACUUCU